Molecule: microRNA precursor, 186 nt
Filed under: Oryza brachyantha (malo sina)
Lineage: Eukaryota; Viridiplantae; Streptophyta; Magnoliopsida; Poales; Poaceae
Description: MIR812 microRNA precursor family
Rfam family: MIR812 microRNA precursor family
Source: Rfam by way of RNAcentral
AAUAAACGAAUUUCUGUGUUUUUUGAUUGAAUUAUCGUCUUAUUUGAAAUUUUUUUAUAAUUAAUAUUUUUAUUGUUAUUACAUGAUAAAACAUGAAUAGUAUUUUUACGUGUACUAAUUUUUUCAAACUUUUAAUAAAUUUUUCAAAUAAGACGGAUGGUCAAACGCUCGAACUAGAAAACCCAU